GACGAACGCUGGCGGCGUGCUUAACACAUGCAAGUCGAACGGAAAGGCCCUGCUUUUGUGGGGUGCUCGAGUGGCGAACGGGUGAGUAACACGUGAGUAACCUGCCCUUGACUGUGGGAUAACUUCAGGAAACUGGGGCUAAUACCGGAUAGGAGCUCCUGCUGCAUGGUGGGGGUUGGAAAGUUUCGGCGGUUGGGGAUGGACUCGCGGCUUAUCAGCUUGUUGGUGGGGUAGUGGCUUACCAAGGCUUUGCCGGGUAGCCGGCCUGAGAGGGUGACCGGCCACAUUGGGACUGAGAUACGGCCCAGCCUCCUCCGGGAGGCAGCAGUGGGGAAUAUUGCACAAUGGGCGGAAGCCUGAUGCAGCAACGCCGCGUGCGGGAUGACGGCCUUCGGGUUGUAAACCGCUUUCGCCUGUGACGAAGCGUGAGUGACGGUAAUGGGUAAAGAAGCACCGGCUAACUACGUG
Molecule: ribosomal RNA, 468 nt
Filed under: uncultured bacterium
Lineage: Bacteria
Description: partial 16S ribosomal RNA
Rfam family: Bacterial small subunit ribosomal RNA
Source: RNAcentral